ACGGGAGGCAGCAGUGGGGGAUAUUGCACAAUGGGCGAAUGCCUGAUGCAGCAAUGCCGCGUGAGGGAAGAAGGUUUUCGGAUUGUAAACCUCUGUCCCCUGUGACGAAACAAAUGACGGUAGCAGGGGAGGAAGCCACGGCUAACUACGUGCCAGCAGCCGCGGUAAUACGUAGGUGGCAAGCGUUGUCCGGAUUUACUGGGUGUAAAGGGAGCGCAGGCGGGAGAGCAAGUCAGCGGUGAAAUACAUGGGCUUAACCCAUGAACUGCCGUUGAAACUGUUUUUCUUGAGUGAAGUAGAGGUAGGCGGAAUUCCGAGUGUAGCGGUGAAAUGCGUAGAUAUUCGGAGGAACACCAGUGGCGAAGGCGGCCUACUGGGCUUUUACUGACGCUGAGGCUCGAAAGUGUGGGGAGCAAACA
This 419-nucleotide ribosomal RNA is filed under the name uncultured bacterium. RNAcentral describes it as "partial 16S ribosomal RNA". It matches the Rfam family "Bacterial small subunit ribosomal RNA", at positions 341 to 774 of the family's 1533-position model. The record is from RNAcentral.